CAGAUGAGAACUCUGUACAGGGUGCUGUGGUCCACAAGGAAUGGCUUGUCCAGUGCUGCAGUUUCCAUCUUUUACUCAGUUAAGCAGCUUUGAGUGUCAGUGCCUUUCUCACUGAGAACUGCAAAGCAGUAUGCUAGGUAAAAAGUUGGAGUCUUUAUCAUUCAUACAACUAACUCUAACCAUCUCACUCCUUCCUGAUAUCCUGUAAUUGUGUGUUGCUGUCAGUAAAACUAUGUAAUGUAGCACUUGGCAGUUUGUCAGCAGUGUGUCUUUGUGAGAUGGUUGAUUUGCCAACGGGAAGCAUCAGGCUUAAUAUGUGGGAGUGCCAAAUCCUCAGAUUUUCCAAGAAAUGCUUUUCCACGUGGAAUUUCCCAUGUCGUAGAUGACAGGCCACUUGAGAGAAUAAAAGGCUGUAGUAAAGGCAGGGGAUUAUGCAGUCCAGACACUUGGAGCUGAACUUAUUCUUCAAGUCUGUAUUCAGCAACUUAGCAACAGAAAGCAGACCCUGAGAAAUACUACAGAAGACUUUUGACACCUGGCCACCACAGUCUCUUUCUGCUUAAAAGAAAAACUCGGAAACAUGAUUUGCUUGUGGUUCCUAUCUCUUCUUACUUAUGGGCUUACACUACUGCAGGGGGCAAAUGGUUGGACAUACCAUUAUUCAGACACAAACAUGACCUACAGAGAAGCAGAGCAGUGGUGCAAAAAGAGAUAUACUAACAUGGUUGCCAUUCAGAAUAAGGAGGAAAUCAACUAUCUCAAUAACUUCUUACCCUUCAAUCCGGGUUACUACUGGAUUGGAAUCAGAAAAAUUAAUGAGGUAUGGACCUGGAUUGGAACUAACAAAGAACUGACAGAAGAGGCAAAAAACUGGGCUUCAGGUGAGCCAAAUGGCAAAGGGAACAACGAGGACUGCGUUGAAAUCUACAUUAAAAGAGGGAAGGAUGAUGGAAAAUGGAAUGACGAAAAGUGUGAGAAAAAGAAGGUUGCCUUGUGCUACACAGCUUCUUGCAACCCAUCUCUCUGCAGUGGCCGUGGAGAAUGCAUAGAGACUAUUAAUAAUCACAGCUGCAAUUGUAACCCUGGAUUCUAUGGGCCAGAAUGCGAGUUUGUUGAGAGCUGUGAUCCACUAAAGAAACCUGAUCAUGGGAGCCUUGCGUGCAACCAUCCAUUGGAGAACUUCAGCUACAACUCAUCCUGCACAGUUCAGUGUGAGGAAGGCUAUGAAUUGACUGCAUUGGCAUCUGUGUACUGUACCUCUUCUGGGAUCUGGUCUGCCUCCCUUGCAGCAUGCAAAGCUGUAACCUGUCCUGCCUUAGAAAUGCCUCUUCAUGGUGCUGUGAACUGCUCCCACCCCUCUGUGGAGCUCACCUGGGGUGCUACCUGUGAGUUCACCUGCGAGGAAGGAUUUACCCUGACAGGACCAGCCACACUGCAGUGUGGGUCUUCUGGGGCUUGGGACAGGCAGCAGCCAUCCUGUGCAGCUGUGCGGUGUGAGGCUGUAACCUGGCCAGAAGGCUUUGUGACUUGUGACCACGCUCCUGCAGAUCUUGCUUAUGGCUCACGUUGUGAUUUCCGCUGCAGUGAGGGCUAUGUUCUGGAUGGCCCAUCCAGCACUGAGUGCACAGCACAGGGACAGUGGUCAGAGCCAGCGCCAGUAUGCAGAGCUGUAACCUGUCCUGCCUUAGAAAUGCCUCUUCAUGGUGCUGUGAACUGCUCCCACCCCUCUGUGGAGCUCACCUGGGGUGCUACCUGUGAGUUCACCUGCGAGGAAGGAUUUACCCUGACAGGACCAGCCACACUGCAGUGUGGGUCUUCUGGGGCUUGGGACAGGCAGCAGCCAUCCUGUGCAGCUGUGCGGUGUGAGGCUGUAACCUGGCCAGAAGGCUUUGUGACUUGUGACCACGCUCCUGCAGAUCUUGCUUAUGGCUCACGUUGUGAUUUCCGCUGCAGUGAGGGCUAUGUUCUGGAUGGCCCAUCCAGCACUGAGUGCACAGCACAGGGACAGUGGUCAGAGCCAGCACCAGUAUGCAGAGUUGUACAGUGUGAACCACUGAGCUCCCCUGAGAAAGGCUCUAUGGAUUGCUCAGAUAGUUCUGGGAACUUCACAUAUAGCACAGCGUGCCACUUCAGCUGUCUGGAAGGAUGGAUGCUGAAUGGUUCUCAUGUUCUUGAGUGUAAUCAUUCAGGAAACUGGAGUGCAAGUCUGCCCACAUGUGAAGCUUCUGAGCAAGUCAGCUAUAUCUCUGUAGGAGUAGCAGCCACAAGUGCCUCUCUGUUGUCCACGGCAUCAUUCCUCCUUUGGCUUGCAAGACAUUUCCGAAGAAAAGGUGAGCAGUUGGAUUGGGUCCACUGGAUCUACUUACCGUCCUGCAAAAUUUACAGUGGAGAAAAAAAACCCAACUCUCCAAAUCCCAAUACCUAACUUUUUGAAAAAGUGAAAAUUCCCAUAUUUAAAUUCCAAAAUUAUUUUCAAGAAGCCUGCAUGUGUGCUAUGUUUGUCUUCUGGAUGAACAUUUGAAAAUCAAAUACUGUAAGAUCCCAAAUGUUUAGAUAACAAAAAUUAGGAGGAUAAAAGCAACAUUUUAUGUGUUGGUAAUUACUGCCAGGGACAGUGAAUGGGAAUUUGAGAUGGGGCUUAUGACAACAUAGUGGUAACUGCAUGUGAGAUUUGUUGCUAGAUAAUGGCUUUUUAUCAGGUAUUCUUAAAUGAGAGGGGUUUUUAGUAGAGGAAAAAGUUUGCAUGAGGGGGCUUUAAUCUUGAAAGGCUAAUACCUUUUCUUAUUCUUCUUGCAGCAAAGAAAUUUACUCCUUCCAGGUAAGUUGUGUCUCAAAAAGCAGCAUGAGCAGCACUGCGAUCAUUUUGCUAAAAUCCAUUUGUUAUAAACUAGUUGUCAUUAAAAUACUUUUCACUUCUGCUUUUUAUAGUAGCUGUCAAAGCCUAACAAUUGAAGGUAGUUUCCAAAGUGCUGGCCAGACUGUCUAACUCCAGGUGUUUCAGGAAUUGAAGCCAUCUUUACUUUUGUCUCGGAUUUCCAGAGAGUGAAACUGCAUGCAAAUCAGCAGCUGUCCAGAUGUUUUUACCCCUUGCUGACAAGAUGAUUGACCUUGUGUAUUGUUCAGAAAUGCUAAACUCAAGCUGUCUGGUAUUUCCAUUGAAGACAAGCAGAGUAAAAACCUCUGGCCUUCUGGCAAAAUACUGUCUACAUUAAGUCAUGUAGUUAUCAUAACUGGGAGCUUGCCAUCUCUUGUCCAGAUGGUGAGCAAAUAGUAAGCUGCUGCCUAAAGAGGAGGCUGGUUUCUCCUCUGGGCUACUCAAGGGUACCUAGGUGAGGUGAAGACAUGCAUUAUUUCACAUCACUUACUACACUGCUGGAGAUGUCUCCUCUGGAGACAUAUGGGUUACACUUGCAGAAACAGAAUAAUCAGGAUCAAAAAAUAUUUAUUGACUAGUUUUGAAACCAUUGAUCUGGUUUGUUGUUGAAGUCAAUUUCAGAGGAUGUCCCAGUCAAGAAAUACACCUGUAGUGCUUAUAUUAGGUACUCUGGUUUCUGAAUGCAGCAAGUAGAUCUGAAAUGGUCUCAUCCCUGUGGGAUUAUGUACUGUAAUACAGGUGUAUACACAAAUUUAAUUGCAUUUUUUACUAUGGAUACUUCUGUGAUCUUAACUAAAUGGAUUAUAAAAUACUUGUUCUUGAGUAGGUCUGUGGCCACUGCUCUGGCCCCAGGUAAUCUUAAAAUAAUUCAGAGGUGUUUGUAAGGAUUUCAUGCCUACAUAUUAUUUACAAAUACAGUGGAAGCCUGAGAUGUGUGUGUGUAUAUAUAUUGCAAGUAUGAUUUAUUAAACUGUUAAAGGACUUCAAAUGAGAAGGUCUUAAGUUAUGCUUAAGUUAUAAUUAUAAAUUAAAUAUCUUUGUCUUAGAAUCUGAUCUGUAUUGUCCUGUUUGUAAAAUUAUUUAAUAAAAUGUUUUAAAUGUAA
RNA transcript from Pezoporus occidentalis (night parrot), 3978 nucleotides. It is a transcript of the gene named selectin E, with no coding region annotated. Lineage: Eukaryota; Metazoa; Chordata; Aves; Psittaciformes; Psittacidae. The transcript has 12 exons. The record is from RefSeq and is a predicted model, not a curated record.